UUGUUUUUGUGUGUGGAAGAGAGAAAAAAUGGUAGAGAAUGGAGGCUAGGGUUUGGGAUUGGAGAGUUGGGGAAGAUGAAGUGGGUGUGUUUGGUGAAUGAUUUUAGAAAAGAAGGGAAAAAAUGGAGUUUUGGGGCUAAAAUCGCGUCUGGGGCCCACUUGGGGGAAGCCCCGCCCUUUUCCCGCGGACACGGCCCGCGUCCGCGGCCUUCAAACGUGGGGGAUGCUCAGGGGACCCGCGGUCCCGCCCCGCGGCCGCGGGUGGUGACCGCGGGUGUCUCCUGAGUCGGGAGCAGCUG
Molecule: long non-coding RNA, 299 nt
Filed under: Salvia miltiorrhiza (redroot sage)
Lineage: Eukaryota; Viridiplantae; Streptophyta; Magnoliopsida; Lamiales; Lamiaceae
Description: long non-coding RNA (SMIL_LNC003170)
Source: RNAcentral